UACGGAGGGUGCAAGCGUUGUCCGGAUUUAUUGGGUUUAAAGGGUGCGUAGGCGGACCAGUAAGUCAGUGGUGAAAUCUCUUUGCUUAACAAAGAAACUGCCAUUGAUACUGCUAGUCUAGAGUAUAGAUGACGUUGGCGGAAUAUGACAUGUAGUGGUGAAAUACUUAGAUAUGUCAUAGAACACCGAUUGCGAAGGCAGCUAACGAAACUAUAACUGACGCUGAGGCACGAAAGUGCGGGGAUCAAACAGG
This 253-nucleotide ribosomal RNA is filed under the name uncultured bacterium. RNAcentral's name for it is "partial 16S ribosomal RNA". It matches the Rfam family "Bacterial small subunit ribosomal RNA", at positions 524 to 776 of the family's 1533-position model. The record is from RNAcentral.